This is a long non-coding RNA of Felis catus (domestic cat), 3529 nucleotides long. RefSeq lists it as uncharacterized. The transcript has 3 exons. Lineage: Eukaryota; Metazoa; Chordata; Mammalia; Carnivora; Felidae. The record is from RefSeq and is a predicted model, not a curated record.
AGGCCCUCCUCUGGCGAGGAAGCCGCGGCCAGGCACUCGCCGCACAGGCGGCCGGCCUCACGGAGCAGGCGCUGCGCUGUGUGCCUCCGGAGGGACACUUUCCACCUGGGCUGCAAUCCUCGCGUGUAUCCGCGCCACAACCCGGGAGGGCGUUACUACCACGAUCUCUGCCUUAGAAAUGCAGAGGGCACAGCCACCACCCGCCCCGCCCGGGAGUCGCCCAGCCCCGCCUCUCCUGGUGGGUUUCCCCCGUGGGCCAAGACGGGGCCGGGAGGCAUAAAGCAAAAGCACCGGGAAGGGCCUUCAGGCCCCGCAGCAGAGUCCGAAUCCCUCCUCGCAGGCCCAAAGACUUUUCCCGGCCUUUCUGAUCCCCGCCAACCCCACGCCCCGACCUCGGAGAAGGUGCGGUGGGCUCAGUAACAUCAGGGCAUCGGGAGAGCAGCUCCUGGUCCCCGGGACCUGCCGAGGAGGAGAGAGGGCCUCUGCAGGUGUGGUCAAGGCGCGGGUCUGGAGAGGGGAGGACGGCCCGGUGGUCCGGGUGGGCAGUAAACGGAGUGGUGGGAAAGAGGCAGAGGGAGGUCGGACAUGCACACAGAGGAGGCCGCGUGAGGACAGAGCAGAGAGAGGUCCGAAGACACUGGCCGCGAAGACUGGAGGGAGGAGGCUAUGUGCCAGGAGCUGGGAGAGGCCGGAAGGGUCCUCCCACAGCCUCGGGGGGAGCACGGCCCUGCCAGCGCCUACGCUCCAGGCUCGUGGCCCCAAAACCGUCAGACGAUAAACUCCUGCUGUUCCACCCAGGACACUGACGCAGAAGGUAACGCGGAAGGACAGAGAGGCCCGUCUCCCUCCGCGCGCACGACCCCGCGUGCAUAACACGUCCAUCCGCAGCACGGGGUUCGAGUGCUCCCCUUGGCAAACGGACAUUUUCAUCACACAGACGGGACUCUGUGCCCUCAACAGGCUGAAGGCUCCUCGUCACGGAGCAGCGACCAGACCGCUAAGGCCAGGACGGAUUCUCCCAGCGAGGAGCACGUGUGCAUUUUGCACAUCCUCUCAGGUAAGGAAGAAGGACCACAAGUCCGUAUUCACCUCUCGUGGACGAAGGAAGUCGAGUGGGCACAGAGCAGGAACAGCCGGAAGAAGAGUGCUGAGCAAAUGUGGUGCCGGUGUGUUUCACCCCGAGAACUUCGUAUGUUUCAGAAAGUCGUUCUCCUCCAGCUGGGGACAGGGGACAGCACCUGUGGUCUCCCGGGGAAGGACGCUACGGGCCUGAGUAGUGCACAUGCUUAGAUGUUAAUAGGAUGGAACCAGACUCCCCCGACGAGGCUCAGAUCGUGAACACACGGGGUCUCAGGGCAGGAGGAUCUGGUACGACCUCUAAUUUUGGAGGCGCGGACAGGUUUGUGAACUUGCCCGCGUCACACGGUCGGUAUCAGGAGGGAACCAAGAACCCAGGCCGCCAAAGCCCAAGCUCCUAUCACCACCCCCAUGACCAGGAACCCUGCCCCUGCACAUGCUUCCCUCCCGCCAGGAAGACAGCAAACUGAGGUCCUGACUCUGUCUCUUCAAACAGCUUCCAGCCACCUGUGCCCAUCUCACCAGCCUGCUGGCGCGUCACAGCAGCAGCCGCCGGUCAUCGCGGUCUGUGACAACAUGGCCUUCCCGCUGGAAGCCCUUUCUCCACACAAAUGCCGUUCGGGCCCUCAUGCUGGUUCACCGCUCAGAGGAAUCAGCCAGAAACUUUGCUGGAGGAAACGAUACCACAUAACAAGUGUCGGACUCGUGUCCUGAAGCUCGCAUGGGACACCUUCGUCCCCACCCUCUCCCGACGAGGACCCAGUCCCUGAUCAGUACUGUCUCGGCAAUGGUGCUCACAGAAGCAAGUCUGCUGGUGUGGACACUGUCACCACGUCACACGACUCUGGACACAGCGUCAUGCUGAGCACAGCACGAAAUACCAUAGCCCAGAUCUGGGCACAAUGACACCUCAGACCUCACCGAGAGAAAGCCAUUGUCCAGGCCGGGGACACAGGCCCGUCCCACGGGCAGCCCCGCGGACAGGGGGUCACCAGCAGGCCAGCACUCACCUCUCUCCCCACCCAGCCCCGUGCCCCCACCCUUGGGCUCAGGCUCAGGGACGUUUCGCUUGCGUCGUUAUUUACGAGGCUUUCAGGAACGGACCACAUCCUGUGCUCUGGCCAGCCACGUGUCCCCAGACCCAGCUCCGGGCGUCCUGCACACCUACCGAUUGGUAGACCUCUGUCACCGAACAAUGAUGAUUCGUGACUGUGAAAAUCCUUUACUCCAAACCAAAUGAGACUCCUUCGCCUCCUCUUACAAAAUCCUUACUGUCACACGCAUGCCCCAAUUUGCAAAUUUGGGGCCUUCUCCUCAGACUCCUUCUCUCUUCCUGAAUUCCUUAUUGUAAAAAGUUGACCCCUUUUGAAAUAACGAGUGUGGGUGUCUGUCCAGAUUGUCCCCUUUGGGGAAAGCGCCCUCCCCCAGUCUGGAAUGAUCCCGCCCCAUUCAUUUUGCACAAGUGUAGCCCAUAACCUCCCGUGACCCACCCUAUGAACCCCCGCACCCACCCCUGGCCACAUGUGACCCAAAUCAGGCCAAGAAGAGCCUCCUUCAGACUCUGGCCAGAACUGAGGUGAAAUGUUGCCUCCCGUCCCUGAGUGACGUUCGCCAGCCUGUGGGUGUCUUGCUGCCAUGAGGCGAAUCCCGAUUGAGAAGGAAGUUCAGCAGAGGUGAGCAGAGCCUGGGGGAGCUUGGAGGAGGCCAAGGGCAGUGCCGGGUGUGGCCCGAGCCUGUCACCCUCAGACUUCCUGGUUUUUCUGACACUGAGGUGAGAUGCGGACUGUCAACUGGCAUAGGGUUGUGACAAACUCAGGUGCUCAAUGGUGCAGAUAAUCCACCCCUGAGAUUAUCGGAAAGCGCCGGGUCCUCCAGGAUGCCAACACCUGGGAAAUCAGCCGCUUGCACCAACAACAUCCCUUAAUAUACCCCAAAUAUCAGCAGGGUGACAAUUUCUGGGAGACGAAACAGUGUGAUGCCCUCAGGUAGGGUUUUGAUACGCUUUACCUGGAGGGUUUCACAACAGCCCCUUCUUCGAGUUAAACUUGAAGUAGUCACACAAAGGUCAUUUCAGCGAGGACGGCUCUGCCUUUUUCUGUCACCCCGUCUAAUAGGUUCUGUCGUUGACAGUCUUGCGUGCUAGGAAUUUACAACCAGGACAGUGGAGACGAACGAGCCAUCUUGGAGAGGGUGAGGGGGGCGGAGCGCAGGGGGUUCCUCUCUGUCCCAGCCAAGUGGACUGGCAUCUUGCUUCUCCAGAUUCCUAUAACUUCCCACCUUUCAUAAGGUACUCAUAUCGUCAACCUUGCGUUUUUACUGUUUGUGUAGGACAGGUGUCCGACUGGCCCCCACAGUAGCUAACAGGGUGCCAGGCACGUAAUAAACACUGGUGAGGGAGGGACAUACGCAAAGAGCGUUGGUAUUUACGUAAAUAAAAAUGUAUUUGCAACAG